RNAcentral lists this ribosomal RNA (301 nucleotides) under uncultured bacterium. Its description in RNAcentral is "partial 16S ribosomal RNA". It matches the Rfam family "Bacterial small subunit ribosomal RNA", at positions 509 to 807 of the family's 1533-position model. The record is from RNAcentral.
CAGUAGCCGCGGGAAUACGGAGGGUGCAAGCGUUAAUCGGAAUUACUGGGCGUAAAGCGCACGCAGGCGGUUUGUUAAGUCAGAUGUGAAAUCCCCGGGCUCAACCUGGGAACUGCAUUUGAAACUGUCAGGCUGGAGUCUUGUAGAGGGGGGUGGAAUUCCAGGUGUAGCGGUGAAAUGCGUAGAGAUCUGGAGGAAUACCGGUGGCGAAGGCGGCCCCCUGGACAAAGACUGACGCUCAGGUGCGAAAGCGUGGGGAGCAAACAGGAUUAGAUACCCCUGUAGUCCCUGUCUCUUAUAC